GAAUACAUUAGCAUGGGAUAAUGGAAUAGGACCCUGUCCUCCUAUUUUCAGUUGGUUUUGGCAGCGCGAGGACUAGGGUAAUGAUUAAUAGGGAUAGUUGGGGGCAUUAAUAUUUAAUUGUCAGAGGUGAAAUUCUUGGAUUUAUGAAAGAUUAACUUCUGCGAAAGCAUCUGCCAAGGAUGUUUUCAUUAAUCAAGAACGAAAGUUAGGGGAUCGAAGACGAUCAGAUACCGUCGUAGUCUUAACCAUAAACGAUGCCGACCAGCGAUUAGGAGACGUUGAAUACAAAACACCACCAUC
This 300-nucleotide ribosomal RNA is filed under the name Acanthamoeba sp. RNAcentral describes it as "SSU rRNA". It matches the Rfam family "Eukaryotic small subunit ribosomal RNA", at positions 797 to 1084 of the family's 1831-position model. Lineage: Eukaryota; Discosea; Longamoebia; Acanthamoebidae. The record is from RNAcentral.